This 3499-nucleotide long non-coding RNA is filed under the name Setaria italica (foxtail millet). Its description in RNAcentral is "long non-coding RNA (SITA_LNC000939)". Lineage: Eukaryota; Viridiplantae; Streptophyta; Magnoliopsida; Poales; Poaceae. The record is from RNAcentral.
UCCCCCUUCUUCUCUCUGGCGCCGCCGCCUCACGCCCGGCUGCUUUGCGCCGCCGGCCUGGGAGCCACCACCACCGGUUUUCGUCGCUGAUUUGCCGGCCAUGAGACCCCUUGGAGCAAGACGACAGCACCGAUGGAAUCCCCUCGUCGAGACGCAUCCAUUCCGCCAAUCCAUGUCGUCGUUCUGUCACCAGGACACCGCCGCCAUGAGAAGCCGAGCCGGCUGCUGCUUCCGUCCGCCGCCGGCUGGAUUUUGACCGCUGCCGCGCCUCCCCAUCGCCGGUGAGCUCAGGUGCAGUUUCCCCUUGCCCUCCUCUUCCUUUCCGCGUCCUCACCGCCGACUGUCGUCGCCGGAGCGCCGGCAAGCUGGCCGGUCAGAGUCCUGGCGAGAGGUUGAAGGAGUCACCUCUUUUGCGGUUUAGCCCCUGGGAACUCCGGUAUUUUUCCUUUGGAAAAUCCUUGUGUCUUAGCAAACCUGCAGAUAACCCCCUAGAUAAUCCCUCACUCUCAGAUCCAGUCCACCUAGGCUUUCUUUUGCAGAUCUAACCUCAAAGUUUCACCUUUUUGCAGUGACUGUUCCAUGAGUCUUGUGUAUCUCCCUUGCUAACCCUCCAAAUCUAUAGUUAAUUACGUUUAGGUCCUUCAAUCGUGUUUAGCUCUAGAGUCCAUGUUUUAACUCCGUUUUAAUCCGUUCAAGUUGCGUUAGAUUCAUAAUAACGUAAGUUGCACGAUAGUGGUGCUAUUGUCCAUCAUUUCAUGUCUUUGAAAAUAAAUUUGAUAUUAAAUUGAUUAAUGCCUGAUAAACAAGUUCUUCUCUAAAUAAAAUCUAUAUAGUGUUAAACACCAUUUUUCAUAAUUAAGUGUUAACUUGAUUAAUGCAUACUUCACAUUAUUUUCUAAAUAAAAUCCAAUUAGAUUAUAUAUCGGGUUUUCAUAAACUAAUAUGAUUAAUGCUUAUCAAAACAACCUUUCCAAUUAAAAGCUAAUUAGAGUUAUACGUCGGUUUUUGUAAAAUAAAUUGAAUUUUCUUAAUAUUUAUUUAAUUUUCUUUCUAAAUAAAAUCUAUAUAGUUUAUAUCUCGAGUUUUCAUGAUUAAAUGUUAAUUCGACUAAUAUGCAUAUAAAUGUGUCGUUAAUCUAAUCUACUAGUUGAACUCGAAAUAUAAAGUUAUGCACUUAGAUGUUUACAUGUAUCUCACUUUUAAAUUAAAUGUUUAAAUUGCAUAAAUUAUACUUAAAUAUUGAUAAAUAAAAUUAGACUAAGCUUUACACCAUCUUUUCUUAUGAAAAUAUAAAUAUGACUUGAAUAAUUCUAACUAAGGAUAUUUCUCUGAAAUAGCUUUACAUUGUUUUCUCAACUAAAAUAAACGAAGCUUGUAGCUCUUAUUUUCAUUUUAUAAUCCAAAACUCUCGCUAGUUUUAUCUUCUCAACCAUAGUUCUGUUCUCAGCGUUUCUUGCGUUUGCGUAAUCUUAGAUCGAGCCCUAUCCUCUAGUAUGAUCUUUUAAAGCUUUUCUUCUGUUUUUGGUGUAUUGUCCUUAGUUGUACUUGUUUGUUUGCUUGUAUGUUGUGCCGGUGAUUGCUUCGAGUGGAAGGAUCGCUUUUCGGAAGAUUUGAAGAGUACGAGUUUCAAGUGAGCAAGAGCCGAAGAGCAGUAAGAGUAACUUUCCGUUGGAGAAAGGCAAGUGUGUCCUUGUGCUUUUGUCCCAAUAACUUUAUUUAAUCAGCAUUGCAUAUGCUUGCAUUUAAUUUGAUGGGUCCUAUUAAGGUUUGCCUAGUCUGUGUGAUCAUUCCUUGUCAACCUGGGUUUACCUUUCUGUUGGGUAGCUAUGCUUAGCUGCUAUACUUGGGUUAUGGUGGUUUUAAUGAACAAUAUGAUGAACUUGUUUUAUUUAUGCUAUACAUUUCUUUAAUACAAGAUCACUGUGUUUAAUUGGAACAUGGAGAACCACCCAGGAAAACAGUGCAACCACAAGAACUAUUAUGGCUCUGGUCUUGGCUAAUUAAUUAGAAACUCUAGUUUGAAGCGGUCUUAUCGAAAGGGCAAGAGGGGGAGACAAUAGUCGGUGUGUAGCACUUGCUCUCUUGGAAAGUGGGCUUUGCUAAGACACUAUACCCACUAGGGGACUGUUAUACAUUGCGAUGAUCAUGAAACCUUAGCGGACUACUUCUUAUUAGGAAAUCUUUGUAAAGACCUCGUAGCGUCCUUAUGCAGUCACACCUCGGAAGUGUGAUGAGUGCUUGAUCAGCACAGCAUGGUUGGGUCCAAAGUUCUUUGAACUUUUACGCGACUUGUGGGUAAAGAUGUGCAACCUCUGCAGAGUGUAAAACUGAUCGAUUAGCCGUGCUCACGGUUAAGAGCGGCCUGGACCUCACAUGAUAAUUGAACUUGAAGAUGGACUUAAAUUGUGGUUUAUGAUAUGGUUAUGGUUGUGCCAUAUGCUUAUGGCUUAUGUAUCUAUUAAUUGUGGGUUGGUAUAUAUUUAUACCUUUGUAAUCAGGUGCUAAUAAAAUUUGACCAACUAAAAAUACUUAAUGUAGUCAACCAGUCAGCCUUUCCUUGUUUAAGCCUUGCAUUCAUAUUCUCCUCACACUUGCUGAGUACGACAUGUGCUCACCCUUGCUAUAACCAACGUUGCUCAGAAGAAGAAGCUGCUAUGAAGUUGAUGUGAAGAUGGUGCUGAGUUCUAGGCAUACGCUGCCCCCAGUCGAUUUCCUGUGAAGUUUGAAGCCUCCGUUUCUAGUGUUUAAGCUGCGUAUCUCUGAUGGUUUCCUAAGUCUUUAUUGUGUUCUUUUACGUGAUACUAUACUAUUAUUCACUUAUGAUGUCACUAUAUGUUUAAAACUUGAUCCUAGCGUACAUAUAGGUAGCACUUGGUUUUGUCCUUAAAACGGGUGUGACAGAGAACUAGCAGAGAAGGCAUAGAUGUGAGGCAGAGGGGUAGGGGACGGAGAUGGAGUCUUGCGAAGCCACAACACUCGCCAGCCACCGAUCACCGCUGCCGCCGCCCUCGCCAUGGCGCCGUGUGCCUGCGCCUCGACACCUGCGCAGGGCAGUCUGUUGUGCACCUACUCCGCUGUCAGGAACAAUGGCCUCAUUCAGUUUUGUCAGUUAAGCUCGUUCAGUUUGUCAAGCAAGCAGACAGAGCAAAGCAGAGCAAGUCAGCAUCCAUUUAAACGGUUCAGUGACUUCGUCGAUGCCGUCCAUCAACCAUCCGACGUCCAUCAUCGUCUCACUCGCCACACUGUGUUUUUACCUCAUUUUCACACAUGUAACAGUCCUUGCUGGCUGUAAAGCACUCUUUUUACUGUUAUCCCUUGAGCCUGUAUUUAGCUCUUGGACAGGGUUUGUAAGCAUUAUCAAAGGAGAAGAUAAACUCGUAAGAACCCUAGGCUAGGUUAGUCUCUGUAGUUCCUCGCCGUCGCAUCGUCGGCAUCUGUAUCGGGUACUGAAACUGAACCUUUGUUUGCCGAUUUAGUUAUCUACAGAGCUAUUCCUGCC